AAGCUUUGAAGGGGAAGUGGGCCUGGACUGCUGCCUUUGCAUUUUAUUCCAACCAUAUCCAGAAGCUGGCUGCAGUCUAAAUGUGGUUCACCAAAAAGCAAGAUAAAUACUUUUUGUCUGUUUAGCUAAUGCGUGUCAAGGCCCAGAUCUUAAAAUAUAGUGACAAAGUAUUUUGAAAACACUAAUUACCUGCUAAGUAAUUCUUGAAAGGCUGUUGGGCUCUGUUACAGAAUCACAUUUUGCAAGUGAAGAAUAUAAUUUGUACUUGUUGUUACUGGCAGGGUGGCUGAACUAACCUCAGUAUUCACCAUGCUGUAAAUGCAAUGAGGUCACUUGUAUGUCUCCAGGAAUAUUUCUUCGUCUUUAAGCCGUGUAUUAUUUGGCAUCUGUUGAAAGAUGUAGACAUUUGUAUUUUAGUGUUAAAGGACCCCCCA
RNAcentral lists this long non-coding RNA (434 nucleotides) under Bos taurus (domestic cattle). RNAcentral describes it as "long non-coding RNA NONBTAT025732". The record is from RNAcentral. Lineage: Eukaryota; Metazoa; Chordata; Mammalia; Artiodactyla; Bovidae.